RNAcentral lists this ribosomal RNA (558 nucleotides) under Triticum aestivum (bread wheat). RNAcentral describes it as "partial small subunit ribosomal RNA". The record is from RNAcentral. Lineage: Eukaryota; Viridiplantae; Streptophyta; Magnoliopsida; Poales; Poaceae.
AUGACAAAAAUGAACAGAAACUACUACCUCCUCCCUCAUGAAGAUGACCCGGUCAGAACCAUUCGGAACAAGAACUGUAUUGGCAAAGUAAUGUUCCUGACCGCUGUUGCUCGACCCAGAUAUGAUGCUGAAGGCAAUGUAACAUUCUCAGGAAAAAUUGGUGUCUGGCCUUUCGUCCAAGAGAUUCCAGCUGCUAGAAGAAGUGAAAAUAGAGCAAGAGGGACCAUGGAAAUCAAGAACGUCACUGUGAACCGACACGUAAUGCGGCAGUAUAUGAUAGAGAAAGUGGUUCCGGGAAUAAAAGAAGUGUGGCCCACAGAUGAUAUUGGCCCAAUAUUGAUCCAACAGGACAACGCGAAGACACAUAUUCUUCCCGGUGAUGCAGAGUUUGCAGAAGCUGUGGCUACAACUGGUCUCGACAUUAGAAUAAUACAACAACCUCCAAAUUCUCCAGAUCUGAAUGCACUUGAUCUUGGAUAUUUCAGAUCCCUUGAGUCUUUGACCGACUGCAGAGCCCCUACGACUAUCAAAGAACUGAUUCAAGGUGUGCAGGAAUAG